ACGGGUGAGUAACACAUCGGAACGUGCCCAAUCGUGGGGGAUAACGCAGCGAAAGCUGUGCUAAUACCGCAUACGAUCUACGGAUGAAAGCAGGGGAUCGCAAGACCUUGCGCGAAUGGAGCGGCCGAUGGCAGAUUAGGUAGUUGGUGAGGUAAAGGCUCACCAAGCCUUCGAUCUGUAGCUGGUCUGAGAGGACGACCAGCCACACUGGGACUGAGACACGGCCCAGACUCCUACGGGAGGCAGCAGUGGGGAAUUUUGGACAAUGGGCGAAAGCCUGAUCCAGCCAUGCCGCGUGCAGGAUGAAGGCCUUCGGGUUGUAAACUGCUUUUGUACGGAACGAAACGGUCUUUUCUAAUAAAGAAGGCUAAUGACGGUACCGUAAGAAUAAGCACCGGCUAACUACGUGCCAGCAGCCGCGGUAAUACGUAAGGUGCAAGCGUUAAUCGGAAUUACUGGGCGUAAAGCGUGCGCAGGCGGUGAUGUAAGACAGUUGUGAAAUCCCCGGGCUCAACCUGGGAACUGCAUCUGUGACUGCAUCGCUGGAGUACGGCAGAGGGGGAUGGAAUUCCGCGUGUAGCA
This 582-nucleotide ribosomal RNA is filed under the name uncultured Variovorax sp. Its description in RNAcentral is "bacterial SSU rRNA". It matches the Rfam family "Bacterial small subunit ribosomal RNA", at positions 102 to 680 of the family's 1533-position model. The record is from RNAcentral. Lineage: Bacteria; Pseudomonadati; Pseudomonadota; Betaproteobacteria; Burkholderiales; Comamonadaceae.